This 1440-nucleotide ribosomal RNA is filed under the name Triticum aestivum (bread wheat). RNAcentral describes it as "partial small subunit ribosomal RNA". The record is from RNAcentral. Lineage: Eukaryota; Viridiplantae; Streptophyta; Magnoliopsida; Poales; Poaceae.
AUGGCUCUCACCAGAAUUGGUCUCGCUGGCCUCGCGGUCAUGGGCCAGAACCUUGCCCUCAACAUUGCCGAGAAAGGCUUCCCCAUCUCUGUCUACAACAGGACAACGUCCAAGGUCGAUGAGACUGUUCAGCGUGCCAAGCUAGAAGGAAACCUUCCUCUCUAUGGUUUCCAUGACCCUGCAUCCUUUGUCAACUCCAUUCAGAAGCCACGUGUCGUCAUCAUGCUUGUCAAGGCUGGUGCUCCGGUCGACCAGACCAUCGCAACGCUCGCAGCACACCUGGAGCAAGGUGACUGCAUCGUUGACGGAGGAAACGAGUGGUAUGAGAACACAGAAAGGAGGGAGAAGGCCAUGGAGGAGCGUGGACUCCUCUACUUAGGGAUGGGUGUCUCCGGAGGAGAGGAGGGUGCCCGCCAUGGCCCCUCCAUGAUGCCUGGAGGCUCACUGGAGGCUUACCAGUACAUUGAAGACAUUCUUCUCAAGGUGUCUGCUCAAGUCCCUGACAGCGGUCCGUGUGUCACAUACAUUGGGAAGGGUGGAUCUGGAAACUUUGUCAAGAUGGUUCACAAUGGUAUCGAGUACGGUGACAUGCAGCUGAUCGCUGAGGCAUAUGAUGUUCUCAAGUCGGUUGGUAAGCUCACAAACGGUGAGCUGCAGCAGGUUUUCGCCGAGUGGAACAAGGGUGAGCUCCUCAGUUUCUUGGUCGAGAUCACUGCUGAUAUAUUCAGCAUCAAGGAUGACCAGGGUGAAGGCUACUUGGUCGACAAGGUCCUGGACAAGACUGGGAUGAAGGGAACCGGCAAGUGGACAGUGCAGCAGGCUGCUGAGCUCUCAGUGGCUGCUCCUACCAUUGAGGCGUCCUUGGAUUCCAGGUUCCUCAGCGGGUUGAAGGACGAGAGGGUGGCUGCUUCCAAGAUCUUCCAAGGUGACUACAGCAGCGGCGAAACUGUGGACAAGGCGCAGCUCAUCGAGGAUGUGAGGAAAGCUCUGUAUGCCUCCAAGAUCUGCAGCUAUGCCCAGGGCAUGAACAUCAUCAAGGCCAAGAGCGUGGAGAAGGGAUGGGGCCUGAACCUGGGCGAGCUGGCCAGGAUCUGGAAGGGCGGGUGCAUCAUCCGCGCCAGCUUCCUGGACCGCAUCAAGAAGGCGUACGACAGGAACGGCGAGCUCGCGAACCUCCUCAUCGACCCCGAGUUUGCGCAGGAGAUCAUGGACAGGCAGGCCGCAUGGAGGAGGGUCGUGUGCCUCGCCAUCAACAACGGCGUGAGCACCCCCGGCAUGUCGGCGAGCCUGGCCUACUUUGACUCGUACAGGAGGGAGAGGCUUCCCGCGAACCUCGUGCAGGCCCAGAGGGAUUACUUUGGGGCGCACACCUACGAGAGGGUCGACAUGCCGGGAUCCUUCCACACCGAGUGGUACAAGAUCGCCAACUCGAAGAUCUAA